Molecule: ribosomal RNA, 2683 nt
Filed under: Escherichia coli
Lineage: Bacteria; Pseudomonadati; Pseudomonadota; Gammaproteobacteria; Enterobacterales; Enterobacteriaceae
Description: bacterial LSU rRNA
Rfam family: Bacterial large subunit ribosomal RNA
Source: RNAcentral
UAAGAGUAAGGCGUACACGGUGGAUGCCCUGGCAGUCAGAGGCGAUGAAGGACGUGCUAAUCUGCGAUAAGCGUCGGUAAGGUGAUAUGAACCGUUAUAACCGGCGAUUUCCGAAUGGGGAAACCCAGUGUGUUUCGACACACUAUCAUUAACUGAAUCCAUAGGUUAAUGAGGCGAACCGGGGGAACUGAAACAUCUAAGUACCCCGAGGAAAAGAAAUCAACCGAGAUUCCCCCAGUAGCGGCGAGCGAACGGGGAGCAGCCCAGAGCCUGAAUCAGUAUGUGUGUUAGUGGAAGCGUCUGGAAAGGCGCGCGAUACAGGGUGACAGCCCCGUACACAAAAAUGCACAUGCUGUGAGCUCGAUGAGUAGGGCGGGACACGUGGUAUCCUGUCUGAAUAUGGGGGGACCAUCCUCCAAGGCUAAAUACUCCUGACUGACCGAUAGUGAACCAGUACCGUGAGGGAAAGGCGAAAAGAACCCCGGCGAGGGGAGUGAAAAAGAACCUGAAACCGUGUACGUACAAGCAGUGGGAGCUCGCUUAGGCGUGUGACUGCGUACCUUUUGUAUAAUGGGUCAGCGACUUAUAUUCUGUAGCAAGGUUAACCGAAUAGGGGAGCCGAAGGGAAACCGAGUCUUAACUGGGCGUUAAGUUGCAGGGUAUAGACCCGAAACCCGGUGAUCUAGCCAUGGGCAGGUUGAAGGUUGGGUAACACUAACUGGAGGACCGAACCGACUAAUGUUGAAAAAUUAGCGGAUGACUUGUGGCUGGGGGUGAAAGGCCAAUCAAACCGGGAGAUAGCUGGUUCUCCCCGAAAGCUAUUUAGGUAGCGCCUCGUGAAUUCAUCUCCGGGGGUAGAGCACUGUUUCGGCAAGGGGGUCAUCCCGACUUACCAACCCGAUGCAAACUGCGAAUACCGGAGAAUGUUAUCACGGGAGACACACGGCGGGUGCUAACGUCCGUCGUGAAGAGGGAAACAACCCAGACCGCCAGCUAAGGUCCCAAAGUCAUGGUUAAGUGGGAAACGAUGUGGGAAGGCCCAGACAGCCAGGAUGUUGGCUUAGAAGCAGCCAUCAUUUAAAGAAAGCGUAAUAGCUCACUGGUCGAGUCGGCCUGCGCGGAAGAUGUAACGGGGCUAAACCAUGCACCGAAGCUGCGGCAGCGACGCUUAUGCGUUGUUGGGUAGGGGAGCGUUCUGUAAGCCUGCGAAGGUGUGCUGUGAGGCAUGCUGGAGGUAUCAGAAGUGCGAAUGCUGACAUAAGUAACGAUAAAGCGGGUGAAAAGCCCGCUCGCCGGAAGACCAAGGGUUCCUGUCCAACGUUAAUCGGGGCAGGGUGAGUCGACCCCUAAGGCGAGGCCGAAAGGCGUAGUCGAUGGGAAACAGGUUAAUAUUCCUGUACUUGGUGUUACUGCGAAGGGGGGACGGAGAAGGCUAUGUUGGCCGGGCGACGGUUGUCCCGGUUUAAGCGUGUAGGCUGGUUUUCCAGGCAAAUCCGGAAAAUCAAGGCUGAGGCGUGAUGACGAGGCACUACGGUGCUGAAGCAACAAAUGCCCUGCUUCCAGGAAAAGCCUCUAAGCAUCAGGUAACAUCAAAUCGUACCCCAAACCGACACAGGUGGUCAGGUAGAGAAUACCAAGGCGCUUGAGAGAACUCGGGUGAAGGAACUAGGCAAAAUGGUGCCGUAACUUCGGGAGAAGGCACGCUGAUAUGUAGGUGAAGUCCCUCGCGGAUGGAGCUGAAAUCAGUCGAAGAUACCAGCUGGCUGCAACUGUUUAUUAAAAACACAGCACUGUGCAAACACGAAAGUGGACGUAUACGGUGUGACGCCUGCCCGGUGCCGGAAGGUUAAUUGAUGGGGNNNNNNNNNNNNNNNNNNNNNNNNNNNNNNNNNNNGAAGUGUGGACGCCAGUCUGCAUGGAGCCGACCUUGAAAUACCACCCUUUAAUGUUUGAUGUUCUAACGUUGACCCGUAAUCCGGGUUGCGGACAGUGUCUGGUGGGUAGUUUGACUGGGGCGGUCUCCUCCUAAAGAGUAACGGAGGAGCACGAAGGUUGGCUAAUCCUGGUCGGACAUCAGGAGGUUAGUGCAAUGGCAUAAGCCAGCUUGACUGCGAGCGUGACGGCGCGAGCAGGUGCGAAAGCAGGUCAUAGUGAUCCGGUGGUUCUGAAUGGAAGGGCCAUCGCUCAACGGAUAAAAGGUACUCCGGGGAUAACAGGCUGAUACCGCCCAAGAGUUCAUAUCGACGGCGGUGUUUGGCACCUCGAUGUCGGCUCAUCACAUCCUGGGGCUGAAGUAGGUCCCAAGGGUAUGGCUGUUCGCCAUUUAAAGUGGUACGCGAGCUGGGUUUAGAACGUCGUGAGACAGUUCGGUCCCUAUCUGCCGUGGGCGCUGGAGAACUGAGGGGGGCUGCUCCUAGUACGAGAGGACCGGAGUGGACGCAUCACUGGUGUUCGGGUUGUCAUGCCAAUGGCACUGCCCGGUAGCUAAAUGCGGAAGAGAUAAGUGCUGAAAGCAUCUAAGCACGAAACUUGCCCCGAGAUGAGUUCUCCCUGACUCCUUGAGAGUCCUGAAGGAACGUUGAAGACGACGACGUUGAUAGGCCGGGUGUGUAAGCGCAGCGAUGCGUUGAGCUAACCGGUACUAAUGAACCGUGAGGCUUAACCUUACAACGCCGAAGCUGUU